RNAcentral lists this ribosomal RNA (594 nucleotides) under Salmonella enterica. Its description in RNAcentral is "partial 23S ribosomal RNA". It matches the Rfam family "Bacterial large subunit ribosomal RNA", at positions 711 to 1298 of the family's 2925-position model. The record is from RNAcentral. RNAcentral also lists the same sequence under 3 other names. Lineage: Bacteria; Pseudomonadati; Pseudomonadota; Gammaproteobacteria; Enterobacterales; Enterobacteriaceae.
AGACCCGAAACCCGGUGAUCUAGCCAUGGGCAGGUUGAAGGUUGGGUAACACUAACUGGAGGACCGAACCGACUAAUGUUGAAAAAUUAGCGGAUGACCUGUGGCUGGGGGUGAAAGGCCAAUCAAACCGGGAGAUAGCUGGUUCUCCCCGAAAGCUAUUUAGGUAGCGCCUCGUGAAUUCAUCUCCGGGGGUAGAGCACUGUUUCGGCUAGGGGGCCAUCCCGGCUUACCAACCCGAUGCAAACUGCGAAUACCGGAGAAUGUUAUCACGGGAGACACACGGCGGGUGCUAACGUCCGUCGUGAAGAGGGAAACAACCCAGACCGCCAGCUAAGGUCCCAAAGUCAUGGUUAAGUGGGAAACGAUGUGGGAAGGCCCAGACAGCCAGGAUGUUGGCUUAGAAGCAGCCAUCAUUUAAAGAAAGCGUAAUAGCUCACUGGUCGAGUCGGCCUGCGCGGAAGAUGUAACGGGGCUAAACCAUGCACCGAAGCUGCGGCAGCGAACGUAUCACUUAAAGCGAUUCAGCGGAUGACGAUUGACGGAGCGAAGCGACGUCAAAGCGUAUACAAAGUCGAGUCGGUUUAAGGAUACGUU